This is a long non-coding RNA of Hyaena hyaena (striped hyena), 585 nucleotides long. RefSeq lists it as uncharacterized. NCBI's taxonomy places the organism in Eukaryota, Metazoa, Chordata, Mammalia, Carnivora, Hyaenidae. The transcript is spliced from 3 exons. The record is from RefSeq and is a predicted model, not a curated record.
CGACCUCGAGCCCGCUGAGGCGGCCGGUUGCUAGCCCUGUUUCUUAACUCUUAAGCCCAACUCUGACCCGCGUCCGUGGGAGAGGGGCUUGGCACUGACGCAUCAGCUCAGCCCCUGGGUGACAACCGUUCUACUUGUCGUUCUCAUCAUAAAGCUACAAGGAUGGUCCUAGUCCCAUUUUACAGCUGAAAAACUGAGGUCCAAGAAGGAACUGACCAUCAACAGGACCAGAAGUGAAACUGAAGUUGACGGACUCCUGCCUGAGUGCUUGGCUCCACUUGGGGACCACUGUGUCCCCAACCUAAGGGUCCCAUUAAAAAAAUGGAGUCUUCCUUAUGCUGAUGAAUGAAGUGACCCUUAAUAAGAUGCAACCAGGCCAGAAAAAGCCAAAUGAGAAAGUUGGCAGCAUUACAAACAAACAUGCCUGGACUGCCAGUCAAGGAGAAGGAUGGAAGACACGUGGAGCAGAGCGGAGUUAUCCCAGCCGGGCCCAGCCUGCAUCAGCCAACCCCCAGUUCCACGAGAGUAAACAGUGGUGGUUUCAAGACACUGAAUUUUAGGGACGCCUGGGUGGCUCAUUCAGUU